UAAAUGCGCAUCACCCUCUUUCUCCCUCAUAUAUUCCCUCUCUCUCUCUCUCUCUCUGACACACACACACACAUCCACGCUCCUGGAUUUGCAGAAGACAGACAUCUAGGGCACUUCUUGGCAUCCCCAGGAAAAUCAUAUGGGAUUAAAAACCCACAGCAGAAUUGCAGGAAGCUGCUUCUUGAGGAUUACAACUUCACCUUUUGCUUUUACGGAUGCUUGUUUACUAUCCAUGUGGUAACCUCUGGACAGCCAGUAAUCCAUUCAUUAUCCCCACUGAUUGAGUGAGGGAGUAGUACAGCGGUAACUACUUCACUCAGCUGAAGGCAGACAACAAAAGGAGGAAAAUGAUGAAUUCGGACAAUUUAACCUCCCAAAGCUUCCUCUCUGCAAUUCACAGCAACGCCAGCAAUUUAUUCUCAGGUCUCCAGUUUGUUCAGUCCUUCAAGCCGCUAAUCAUCCCCUGCUACUCCCUGGUGGUUUUCAUCGGUGUCAUUGGGAAUUACCUGCUCAUUUAUGUUAUCUGCAAGACAAAAAAAAUGCACAACGUCACCAACUUUCUCGUGGGCAAUCUGGCUUUCUCAGACAUGCUCAUGUGUGCAACCUGUGUGCCCCUGACACUCGCCUAUGCCUUCGAGCCCCGGGGGUGGGUGUACGGGCGGUUCAUGUGCUACUUUGUUUUCCUGAUGCAGCCUGUCACGGUGUUCGUGUCUGUGUUCACCCUGACUGUCAUAGCUGUGGACAGGUACUGUGCCAUGGUGUACCCCUUCCGCAGGAGGCUCACCAUCCCUGUCUGUGCUUACAUCCUGGCUGCUAUUUGGCUGCUGAGCUGCACCCUGGCUGCCCCAGCCUUAGUCCACACUUACCACGCGGAGUUCCCGGAGCUGGACUUCUCCAUCUGCGAGGAGUUUUGGUUCCACAUGAAAAGGGAUCGCUUGGCUUACGCCUACAGCACCCUCAUCAUCACCUAUGUGUUGCCUUUGGCUGUCAUCUCCCUGUCCUACCUGAGGAUCUCAGUCAAGCUGAAGAACCGUGUGGUGCCAGGCAAUGUCACCCAGGGCCAGGCUGAGUGGGACCGUGCACGGAGGAGGAAGACUUUUCGCCUGCUGGUCUUAGUGGUGGCAGCCUUUGGAGUCUGUUGGCUGCCUCUGCACAUCUUCAACGUGAUAAAGGACAUAGACAUCAGCUUGAUUGACAAGCAGUAUUUCAACUUUAUCCAGCUGCUGUGCCACUGGUUUGCAAUGAUGUCUGCUUGCACCAAUGCCUUCCUCUAUGCCUGGCUCCACGACAGCUUCAGGGGAGAGCUGAAGAAAAUGUUUGCCUGGAGAAAGAAGAAAAUUGGACCUGCUACAAACUGCAUUAUGGCCAGUGUGGUGCUGUAAACGAGGUCUGGUGGGAGUGCAUUUCCUUUGUACAGUAACAUUAUCAAGAUGCUUUACUGGAAGUCCCAGAUAGGAGCUGCAGACGCAUCAGAGGGAACAUCUAAAAGGGGAUUUUUAAUCCCCACAUCUACAUUUUCUGCAAUUCCUACAUUUCCACGAGGCACUGGAGACCUUUCAGCAGCAGCAAGUAGGACUGCAGAGAGAAGCUCGUGGUGAUGAGAUCUGCCUCUCCUGCUGAGCACAGUCCUUGGCUUCCAGACAACAUGCUGGAAAGGUGUUCCUGACUCACAGCAGCAGGAGGGUUUUGUGAGAGCCUGGGGAUGUUUGUGGUGCUGAGGGUCACUCUUGCCCAGCUCAGGUUCUCCCCAGCAGCAUCACCAAGAUGUGCUCAGCUGGGGCUCUGGUGAGGCCGGGCAGCACGAGGGGCUGGCUCUUUUCCUGCAGUUCCUCAGCCACAGGGAGCUGUGUUUAUUUACCCAGCACAGCCACAAGGCAGGGCAAUGUUCUGCUGAGAACGGGACAGCCAAAGGACCCCAGAGCCGCGAUGGAAUGUGGCAGGAAUGUGGCAGGAAUGUGGCAGGCUGCCAUCAGUCACAGCUCCAGUCUGUGUGACCAGCUGUGCUUGGGAGUGGGAAGGUGAAGCUACAGCCUGUGUUGUGAACCAAGCCCAUCUUGGGCUCGUGGAGAAAGAAAGAAAUUAUUACUUUUUGGACUUGAAGCAAACAAUGCCCACCCAAAGGCUAAGUCUGUGAUCACCCAGAGGUGGUCCUGUGAGAAUGCAGGAGUCACUCAAGCCUUCCUGUGCUCCCUCACUUGUGGUGUGUCACUUCAGUGGAUUUUUGAUUGGGUUUUUCCUCCCUCCCCUCAGCCCUACAGUGCAACAGGGGCAGGCCAAGCAUGUGCAUGAACCACUGGUGUGAGGUCCACAUAAGCAGAGCUGUCAGUGCACAGUCUAGAGGCAGGUGAGUUUGAGGGCACAUGCACCUGUGAAAGGGUUUUUUAUAAAAAUAAUUGAAAGAUUGGGGAUGGAAUUCCAGGACAAGUGUUCAACCAACCCACUCUUCAGCAAUUGGAGGCAGCUCUGCAGGAAGUAAGAUGAAAAUAGUUCAAAUAUUAUGUGCAAGAGUUAGCUAUGAGCUGUAUCACCAAUAUAUACUAUAUACAAGGUAUUUAAAAUCAUUAACAAGACAAAAUCUUUAAUGCUAAGCUUUGGAAUUAUUUUCCCUCAAUUAUUGGAUCAUUUUAAAUUCAACAUCUGUUGUUAAUAUGCAUAAAUUAAAAAAAUAAAAAUAGAUUUGAAACCAUCUAAAGCACUAGACAACAUAUGGCAGACCUGUUUAAUCUUAACAAGUCAAUAAUAUUAUCAUUAUGAAUCACUUCUCUGUUAAAAUGUGUAUUUAUGUCUGUUGUAUAAAUGAUGUUUAUAAAAGCCUUUUGUGCCACCCAUGCAAUUGUCACUUGUCACAGCUAAUUCUAGAUUGUUUUGAAAAAACAAUUUUCCUCUUGGAAAAUUACCACAGACUGAGGACAGACAGAAAUGCAAAUCAUCACCAGUCGAAGUUCUGACAACAUCACACACAAAGUGCAGGGAAGAUUUCAAAGACCUGUGUUUUGCUGUAGUUAAAAAUUAUAGGUUUCUUUAUUUUUAAGGCAUUGUGGAAAGCACUGUUCCGAACACUUUUCACCCUCCAAAAGUUGUAUACAGGGUCUGACAAGAUCUACAUUCUUUCCUGGUUCCUAACAUUCUUCCUUCGUUGCUAAAUGAAGAAACAGGCUUUCCCGUGGAAGGGUUUACAAUGGCACUGCUCACCUGGAAAAGCUGCUGCCCAGGGACAGGGUGAGGACACAGGAGAAGUGGGGAUUAAAAGCCAGACUUCUCAGACCCUGAAAUCAUUAAAUUAUUGGUUAAGGGCAACAGAACUUUGAAAAGUUGUCUUUCAAUCCUUGACCGAGAAGGUUUAUCUCCUUCCCUCACACAUGUUA
Corapipo altera (White-ruffed manakin) is the source of this 3365-nucleotide RNA transcript. It is a transcript of the gene named prolactin releasing hormone receptor, with no coding region annotated. The record is from RefSeq and is a predicted model, not a curated record. NCBI's taxonomy places the organism in Eukaryota, Metazoa, Chordata, Aves, Passeriformes, Pipridae. The transcript has 4 exons.